ACGAACGCUGGCGGCGUGCUUAACACAUGCAAGUCGAACGAUGAAGCCUUUCGGGGUGGAUUAGUGGCGAACGGGUGAGUAACACGUGGGCAAUCUGCCCUUCACUCUGGGACAAGCCCUGGAAACGGGGUCUAAUACCGGAUAAUACUGCGGACUGCAUGGUCUGUGGUUGAAAGCUCCGGCGGUGAAGGAUGAGCCCGCGGCCUAUCAGCUUGUUGGUGAGGUAGUGGCUCACCAAGGCGACGACGGGUAGCCG
This 256-nucleotide ribosomal RNA is filed under the name Streptomyces sp. ISO486_OTU2397. RNAcentral's name for it is "partial 16S ribosomal RNA". It matches the Rfam family "Bacterial small subunit ribosomal RNA", at positions 29 to 289 of the family's 1533-position model. Lineage: Bacteria; Bacillati; Actinomycetota; Actinomycetes; Kitasatosporales; Streptomycetaceae. The record is from RNAcentral.